This 4793-nucleotide long non-coding RNA is filed under the name Nicotiana benthamiana. Its description in RNAcentral is "long non-coding RNA (NBEN_LNC016248)". The record is from RNAcentral. Lineage: Eukaryota; Viridiplantae; Streptophyta; Magnoliopsida; Solanales; Solanaceae.
AUCUCCUUCCUCUUCGAGAAAGAACUUAUCCUCAAGGUCGUAGCUGAGCCACAAACUAUGAAAAUCGAUGCUUGAUAUAGUUCCAGUCCUCCCAAGAUACUUCCUUUUCACUCAGAUUAGCCCACUGAACCAACACUUUCACCCAACUCCAUUAUUGAUCCUUACCAUUUUCCUCUAAAUAAUGGUGAUUGGUUGAUCAAGACUUUUCCUUCCAUAUCGCUGAGGGGAGGUUGUUGUGCUGGAACAAUGGUGGGACCUAUGCGACGCUUCAGCUGCGAGACAUGAAUCACAGAUGUAUUGCGACCCCGGUGAAAACUGUAAUCGGUAAGCUACAACUCCUAUUUUAUGUUCAAUAGUGUAUGGACUAUAGUAUUUGGCACAUAAUUUUACAUUUCUUAGCACAUCUAUAAAGGAUUGUCCAUAAGGCUGUAGCUUUAGGUAAACUUGGUCCCCCACCGCUAGUAUUCUUUCUGAUCUCAAUCUAUCUGCGUAGAAAUUCAUACGAGCUUGUGCUUGGGUUAAGUUGUCCUUCAGUGUUUGUAGCAUAUGUUGACGUUGAGCUACACUCACUCUUGCUGGUGACUGGCCUGUGUUAGGUAAAGAUCCUAUAGGUAUUUAUGAUGGUGGAUAACCAUACAGUGCUUGAAAAGGGGUGAUUUUCAGUGCACUAUGGUAAUUGGUGUUGUAUCACUACUCCGCCAAAUGAAGCCAUUUGGUCCAUUAGCUUAGGAUUAUCAAAUACCAUUGCGCGUAGAUAAGUUUCCAGGCACAUGUUUAGCCUUUCAGUCUUCCCAUCUGACUGCGGAUGAUAGGAUGUGUUCAUGUUCAGUUUAGUGACCAUAGAAAAGAUGCUGCCAGAAAUGGCUAGUGAAUAUAGGAUCCCUAUCAGACACUAUUGUUUUAGGUAGCCCAUGUAAUCUAUAGAUCUCUUUGAGAAAUAGAUCUGUAACCUCAGGAGCUGAAAUGGGUGUUUAAUGUCCAAGAAAUUGUCAUACUUGGUGAACCUAUCGAUCACCACUAGCACUGUAUUUUUGCCCCCUGAAUUGGGUAAUCCGUCCACAAAAUCCAUGGAUAUAUCUUGCCAUGCCUAGUCUGAAAUUGGCAGUGGCUGGAGCAAGCCUAGUGAAUGAACAUUUUCAAAUUUGACCUUUUGACAAACAUCACCACUACUCCACCCAUUUACACACUUUUUUUUCAUAUUUGACUAAUGAAACAGAAGUUGCAACCUCUUGUAAGUACCUUGCUGACCUGAGUGUCCACCAAUAGCAGAAUGAUGCAUAGUUUGUAGAAUUUUUUCCCUUAGGUCAGUGCCCUUACCCACAUAGAUCUUCUGCUUGUAUCUGAUGACUCCCCGGUGUAAGUUGUAGUCCUCCUUACUGUUAGUAUUGAUAGUUAACUCCCUCAGUAGUUGUAAGGCUAUAGGAUCCCCUUCAUAACUAUCAACAAUAUCCUGCAGCCAAGUAGCAUGUGGGCUGGAUAUGGCUAAUAGAGUAGACUUAUCUUUUUGUCUCCUUGAGAGAGCCUCUGCCAACCUGUUCCCAUUGUACUUUUUGUAUUGAACCUCAUAGUUAAGGCUCAUAAGCUUGGUUAACAUUUUUCGUUGUAAGGUUGUAGUUAUCUUCUGUUCCAAUAGGCAUUUCAAGAUUUGAUGAUCAGUCUUAACAAUGAAGUGCCCCCCUUAUAAUUAACGCCUCCACCUGUCCACAGCUGAAAGAACUACCAUAUACUCUUUUUUAUAAGUAGAUAGUCCCUUGUGCUUGAGUGCUAGUGAUUUGCUGAGAAAAGCUACAGGGCUACCUUCCUGCAUCAACACAAAACCCAUUCUAGUAGCACAUGCAUCAGUUUCUACCACAGAAGGCUUGGUGAAAUCAGCCAAACCAAGCAUUGGUAUUGUUGACAUAGUUGUCUUAAUUGCUGAAAGGUUGAUUCUUCUUCUUCAUUCGAGUGAAAGGCAUUCUUCUUAAGCAUAUUAGUUAAUGAUCUGCUUAUGAUUCCAUAAGAUUUAAAAAAUCUCCUAUAGUAGCCAGUCAAUCCUAGGAAUCGCCUUAAAUCCUUCACAGAUUUCGGUACAGGCCAAUUUACCAUUGCUUCAAUUUUAGUAGGGUCAGUAGAAACCCCCUCACCUGAGAUAAUGUGUCUCAAGUAUUCCACUUUAUUGUGUCCAAAAGCACAUUUAGACAUCUUUGUAUAGAGUUGUUCCUUUUGUAAAAUCUCUAGUACUUUUCUGAGAUGUAGUACAUGAGUCUCCAUUGAAGAACUGUAGACUAAUAUAUCAUCAAAAAAACACCAAUGCAAACUUCCUCAAAAAGGAUUUAAACACCUGAUUCAUGAGGCUUUGGAAAGUGGCUCGGACAUUGGUCUAGUCAAAGGGCAUGACCUUAAAUUCUUAGUGCCCUAUAUAUGUUCUAAAGUAAGUUUUGUAGAUGUCUCCUUCCUUCAUCCUUAUUUGGUGAUACCCAACCUUGAAGUCAAUUUUUGAAUAAAUACAAGAACUGCUAUGUUCAUCUAUAAGAUCAUCUACCAACGGAAUUGGAAACUUAUCCUUGAUUCUCAUUUUGUUUAUUUCCCUAUAAUCAAUGCAAAAUCUCCAACUUCCAUCUUUUUUCUUAACUAAUAAUACAGGGGAAGAGAAUGGGGAGUGGUUGGGUUGUAUAGUUCCAUUAUUAAGCAUUUCAUAUGCUUUUCUAUCUCACUUCUGAAAAUAAUUGUACAUAUAUGGUCUGAUACUAAUAGGUACUGCUUCAGGUUUGAGUGGAAUCUAAUGACCACGACUUCUUUUUGGUUGCAGACACUUUGGUUCAGCAAACACUCCUAGAAACUUAGCUAUAAUGUCCUGAAUCUUGUCAGGUAUGCUACUUGGUAACUCUGUAGUUUGUGCAUUAAUAGUGAACAAAUAUGCCCAUAGCACCUGUCCUUUCUUCAAUAAUUGUUUCACCCCAGUGGUUGUCAUACUCUAGAGUUUGCCUUCCUCAUAGUAUCCCUUUAAGUCUACCUUUUUUACUUUCACACCCACUUGUAGUCUAUACGAAAUAAAGUCAAACAAGAUAGGAUUAUGUUUUAUCAUCCAAUCCACUCCUAAGACUACAUCACAAACCCCAAUAUCUAAUAAUCUCAGCUUGUAUUCAAAUUCAAUUCCAUGAGCUUUUCACUUGAAUUGAGGACAAGGGUGAUAACUCAUCAUAUGCCCCCAUUUGCCACAUCUACCCUUAUUGGUACAGCUUCUUGAAUUGUAAUAACGACCCGGCCAAUUGUUUUUGUAAUUUACACCCUGAUUCUUUUUUAACUGCUUCACCUAAGUUCAUUUAUGCUAUUUUAAUUUGUUGGGACGUUCGGGUUAUGAUUCGGAGUGUUUUGGGACACUUAGUCCCUAAAUGAGAGCUUAAGAGUUGAAAAGUGGUCCAUAAUUGGAACAAUGUGAAGACAGUCUCGGAAUAGAAAUUUUAUGGUUUAUUUAGCUCCGUUAGGUGAUUUUGGGGUUGGAAGCAUGUUCGUAAUGUAUUUUGGAAGUCCAUAGCUCAUUUAGUCUUGAAAUGCCAAAGUUUAUAUUUUUAAAGUUUCCGGGCUGAUAGUGAGUUUUUUUAUAUGAGGGUCGGAAUGGAAUUCUGGAAGUUGCAGUAGCUUCAUCAUGUCAUUUGGGAUGUGUGUGAAAACUUACAGGUCAUUAGGAUGUAUUUUGGUUAGGUUUUUGAUUGAAAGCGUAUUUGGAAGAAAAUGGAAGUCCUUAGGCUUGGAUAAUUGAUUAAAUCAGGUUUUCGAUGUUGCUUUAGGUGUUUAAAGAAUUGGUGAAAGUUUUAAAGAGGUAUUAGGUGGUAUUGGUACUUUUGGUUGAGGUCCCGGGGGCCUCGGGAUGAUUUCGGGUGGUUGGCGGAAGACUUUGGAGUGAAUGAAUUGCUUAAGGCUUAUGUCUGCUGUCAUAACCGCACGUACAUUUUAGGUUCUGCAGGUGAGGAGCCACAUAUGCGGCCGGGCCAUCGCAUAUACGGGUUUUGGGCUCCUUCGGUUUUUCACAGGUGCAAAUGCUUUACCGUAGAUGCGGUUACGCACCUAUGAGUCUCCCAUCGCAGAUGCAGCCCCUGCACCCUUUAAUGAAAACCGCAGAAGCGGUCCUUUUUUUGCAUAAGUGAGACCUCAUAAGCGGUCUCUUAUCCGUAGAAGCAGAAAUGUCUGUUCAGAUAAUCAAUUUUCGAGUGUUAGUUUUCAUAAGUUAGAAAAAUCAAAUUAAGUUCGGGGACGGGCGAUUUUGAAGGGGUUUUGAAGAAAAGAUUAUUGGGUAAUGUUUAUUUGAUACCUUCUAGUUAUAUUUCAUCAUUAUGUUGUUAACUCUAUCAUUAAAAUUCGAAUUGAGGAUCAAACAUUGGAAAUUUUGGGUGAAAUUUUAUAGGCUAAACUAUUGAUUUUUGAGUGGGCAUUUGACCUCCGGUUUGGGAGAUUGUUAUUUGGUUAGACUCGUGAGAGUAUGAGGGUUCUGAAAAUAUGAAAAUUAUUCGAUUCUGAGAUGUUGGACUGAGGGGAAUUUUGGUCAUUUUACCUAUUUUCGCGCCCUAGCUUUUAAUUUAAUAGUGGAAUCAAUUGUUUGCAAUGUUAUUUAUGAUAUGUAAUUGAAUUGAAUAGAUUUGCGCCAUUUGGAGUCGGAUACUCGUGGCAAAUGCGUGGUUCCUAGUUGAGUUUGAACUGGUUCGAGGUAAGUGUCUUGUCUAACUUUGUGUGAGGGACAUUCUCCCCUUAGGACUUGUUAUUUGAUGAUUGAGUGCCUUGUACAUGGGGUGACGAGCGCGUACUUAUUCUAAUUGUUG